UGCCUACACGGUGAUGGGGUUCCACCGUGGCCUUUCGGUCAAAACCGCACGAUGCUGAUGACUCCUACAGAAAC
RNAcentral lists this non-coding RNA (74 nucleotides) under Vibrio sp. RNAcentral describes it as "Fluoride sequence". It matches the Rfam family "Fluoride riboswitch aptamer (crcB RNA motif)". The record is from RNAcentral. Lineage: Bacteria; Pseudomonadati; Pseudomonadota; Gammaproteobacteria; Vibrionales; Vibrionaceae.